This 36-nucleotide small nuclear RNA is filed under the name Cervus elaphus hippelaphus. It matches the Rfam family "Small nucleolar RNA U3", at positions 1 to 36 of the family's 219-position model. Rfam says of the family: Small nucleolar RNAs (snoRNAs) are involved in the processing and modification of rRNA in the nucleolus. There are two main classes of snoRNAs: the box C/D class, and the box H/ACA class. The record is from RNAcentral. Lineage: Eukaryota; Metazoa; Chordata; Mammalia; Artiodactyla; Cervidae.
AAGACUACACUUUCAGGGAUCAUUUCUAUAGUUUGU